GUUCUUGAAGGUGGGGUGUUGUCUUUUUGUUGCCCUCUGCUUUUCAAGGGCUGAGAUAGCAACAUAUGACACACCUGCUUUUCAAGAUUAUUCAUGUCCUUCAACACCCUGUGCAUUAUAAGCGAAGCUUUAUUCUCCUGCCUGCAAGUCAGCUAUUAUUGUGAUUUGGCAUGUAUUUGUUAUGUGAGCCCUGUCAUAUAUUGACCAGCUUGAGAAGAUAUUGAUUGUCCUCCAAGCAAAAAUGGGGAGUAGUGUGUAUGGGGUUUGCAAAUGGUGUAUGGCAAUAUAUUCACAAAGAUGACUCAGGAAAAUAGUGGCUUUGUCUUCAUAUAAGCUCCUUGUAAUUUGUCUUGUAGCAUGAAGUAGCUCAAUUGUGAGCAGAAAAAUGCAUAUACAACUUUCAACAAUGGAUCUCUUGGCUCUCGCAUCGAUGAAGAACGCAGCGAAAUGCGAUAAGUAAUGUGAAUUGCAGAAUUCAGUGAAUCAUCGAAUCUUUGAACACACCUUGUGCUCCUUGGGUCACCUAUGGAGCAUGCCUGUUUGAGUGUCAUAUUGAUCUCAAUUCCCUUCAAGCCUUUCUUUGUAUAAAUGAGAAAAGCCUGUUUAGGAUAAUUGGAUUUGGGGGUUUUCAUGCAGGUUCCCUUUUGUAGGGAAUCAGCUCCCCUUAAAAAUAUUAGCAGAGGAUGAAGCAGAAAUAGCUCUUAGCAUUGUUCCAUUGGCUAUGGUGUGAUAAUUGUUUCAUCAUGGCAUUCAUGAAUGAUUCAGUGCAAAUGGGGAAGUGCAAGCCCCNNGAGACUUUAUNGUAGUNUUCUCUCUNUGCUUCUAUUUGUCAGAUCUAUCUGGCAANUCAUAUGUUCUUUUNGGCCUCAAAUCAGGUAGGACUACCCGCUGAACUUAAGCAUAUCAUUAAGCGGAGGAAAAGAAACUAACAAGGAUUCCCCUAGUAACUGCGAGUGAAGCGGGAAGAGCUCAAAUUUAAAAUCUGGCAGCUCUGCUGUCCGAGUUGUAAUCUGUAGAAGCAUUUUCUGCAUUGGACUGUGUACAAGUCUCUUGGAAUAGAGCGUCAUAGAGGGUGAGAAUCCCGUCCAUGACACAGACUACCAAUGCUUUGUGAUAUGCUCUCAAAGAGUCGAGUUGUUUGGGAAUGCAGCUCAAAAUGGGUGGUAAAUUCCAUCUAAAGCUAAAUACAGGCGAGAGACCGAUAGCGAACAAGUACCGUGAGGGAAAGAUGAAAAGCACUUUGGAAAGAGAGUUAAACAGUACGUGAAAUUGUUGAAAGGGAAACGCUUGAAGUCAGUCACAUUCUGCAGAACUCAGCCUUGCCUUAUUAGGCCUGGUGUAUUUCCUGCAGGAUGGGUCAACAUCAAUUUUGGUCAGUGGAUAAAGGGGGAGGGAAUGUGGCACCUAUGAAGGUGUGUUUAUAGCCCUCUUUCAUAUACAUUGGCUAGGAUUGAGGACUGCAGCAUGCCCUUGUGGCCAGGCUUUUCAUGUCACAUGCUUAGGAUGUUGACAAAAUGGCUUUAAGCGACCCGUCUUGAAACACGGACCAAGGAGUCUAACAUGCCUGCAAGUGUUUGGGUGGAAAACCCUUGCGCAUAAUGAAAGUGAAAAGUUGGGAACCUCCGCAAGGGGGUGCACUGACACCCGGCCCUGAUGUUUACUGACGGUGCUGCGGUAGAGCAUGUAUGUUGGGACCCGAAAGAUGGUGAACUAUGCCUGAAUAGGGUGAAGCCAGAGGAAACUCUGGUGGAGGCUCGUAGCGAUUCUGACGUGCAAAUCGAUCG
Molecule: ribosomal RNA, 1784 nt
Filed under: Coltricia navispora
Lineage: Eukaryota; Fungi; Basidiomycota; Agaricomycetes; Hymenochaetales; Hymenochaetaceae
Description: eukaryotic LSU rRNA
Rfam family: Eukaryotic large subunit ribosomal RNA (bases 862-1784)
Source: RNAcentral